Molecule: ribosomal RNA, 276 nt
Filed under: uncultured bacterium
Lineage: Bacteria
Description: partial 16S ribosomal RNA
Rfam family: Bacterial small subunit ribosomal RNA
Source: RNAcentral
GGAUUAGAUACCCCGGUAGUCCACGCCGUAAACGUUGGGCGCUAGGUGUGGGGUCCCUUCCACGGGUUCCGUGCCGCAGCUAACGCAUUAAGCGCCCCGCCUGUGGAGUACGGCCGCAAGGCUAAAACUCAAAGGAAUUGACGGGGGCCCGCACAAGCGGCGGAGCAUGUGGAUUAAUUCGAUGCAACGCGAAGAACCUUACCUGGGUUUGACAUACACCGGAAACAUCUGGAGACAGGUGCCCCGCAAGGUCGGUGUACAGGUGGUGCAUGGCUG